This 133-nucleotide ribosomal RNA is filed under the name Acronicta sp. 632018. RNAcentral's name for it is "partial large subunit ribosomal RNA". The record is from RNAcentral. Lineage: Eukaryota; Metazoa; Arthropoda; Insecta; Lepidoptera; Noctuidae.
AAAUUAAUUAAGAUUAUUUUUAAUUUUAAAAUUAAAAUUAAUUUAAUUAUUUUGUUGGGGUGACAAAAAAAUAUAAAAAACUUUUUUUAUAAAAAAACAUAAAUAAAUGAUUAAAUGAUCCAUUAUUAGUGAU